UCACAGCCAUAGUACUCGACUCUCAAACAAAUAUCGUUCUUCCAUGACGUUGGAUUUAUUCUGAUAUAUUUCGCUACAAUCCCGGGAUCUAUUAUGUGGUCCAUUACAUCAUAAGAAUUUUUAUUGCCUUUAAAUAUCUAGGGCGGGAAAGCAAGACAAAAGUUACAUUUCCUAGUCUGCCUAUAGUUGACAUGCAUACUAUCUGGAAAUAUUGGAACGCACAGAACGAAAAAAAAACAGGUGAGGUUUUAAGAUUCGAUGUUACACAUUCUAAAAUUUUGUAAUUCUAUUCUCUUACCGUUGUUAUGUCGUGUGUUAGUGUGUUAGUCCAGUUUUGUUUUCAUUCCAUGUCAGUUUCACCCUACAAAUCUUUUGUUUCACUUUGUGUUUAGUCCUUUCCUUGUUAGUACAUGUGUACGUCUAUACGUGAAUUCGUUUUGUUUGAUUGUCAGUUUGUUUAUCUGUUGUUGUUUUUAAAUUUUUGUUUUGUUUAUUUAUUGUUUACUGUCCAAUGUGUUUAUUUGUUUGUUCGUUUAAUUAUUCUGUCGUGUGUUUCUGUCAUUUGUUUGUCUGUUUUUUCCUCAUUUGUUUAUGUUUCUAUUGUCCAUCUGCAUGUGACGUUGUAUUUUUAUGUACGUAUAUGUGUGUCUGUCUGUUAGUUUGUUAGUCUGUCUGUCAGUCAGU
Paramuricea clavata is the source of this 684-nucleotide non-coding RNA. The record is from the annotation of a GenBank genome assembly. NCBI's taxonomy places the organism in Eukaryota, Metazoa, Cnidaria, Anthozoa, Malacalcyonacea, Plexauridae.